GGUAAGACCCAGUCUUUUCUUGACUCUUCAAAGGUCUUGGAAUAAGAGGUGGGUAAGGACGGUGCCAGCCGCCGCGGUAAUACCGGCGCCUCAAGUGGUAGUCGAUUUUAUUGGGCCUAAAACGUCCGUAGCCUGUUUGGUACAUUCGUGGGUAAAUCAACCAGCUCAACUGGUUGAAUUCUGCGAGCACGGCCAGACUUGGGACCGGGAGAGGUGUGGGGUACGCUCAGGGUAGGGGUAAAAUCCUGUCAUCCUGAGCGGACCACCUGUUGCGAAGGCGCCACACUAGAACGGAUCCGACGGUCAGGGACGAAGCCUAGGGGCACGAACCGGAUUAGAUACCCGGGUAGUCCUAGGUGUAAACGCUGUGGACUUGGUGUUGGGGAUUCUCCGAGGAUCUUCAGUGCCGAAGCGAAGGUGAUAAGUCCACUGCCUGGGGAGUACGGUCGCAAGGCUGAAACUUAAAGGAAUUGGCGGGGGAGCACCGCAACCUGAGGAUUGUGCGGUUUAAUUGGACUCAACGCCGGAA
RNAcentral lists this ribosomal RNA (529 nucleotides) under uncultured Candidatus Poseidoniales archaeon. Its description in RNAcentral is "bacterial SSU rRNA". It matches the Rfam family "Archaeal small subunit ribosomal RNA", at positions 392 to 923 of the family's 1478-position model. Lineage: Archaea; Methanobacteriati; Thermoplasmatota; Candidatus Poseidoniia; Candidatus Poseidoniales. The record is from RNAcentral.